Molecule: long non-coding RNA, 878 nt
Filed under: Pan troglodytes (chimpanzee)
Lineage: Eukaryota; Metazoa; Chordata; Mammalia; Primates; Hominidae
Description: lincRNA
Source: RNAcentral
AAAAUAAGCUGAUUCUAUAGGACAGAAAAAGGAAGAGGGCAGGGGUCAUAAGGGGAUGUAAGCAUAAGAUACCCAAGCCAGAAACAGCAACCCUUCCGGGUCCCCUUCCCCCACGUGGAAGCUUUCCUUUCACUUUCGCUUUAAUAAAUCUUGCCGCAGCACACUCCCUAAUCGAGCUGUAACACUCGCCGCUUCAUUCCUUGAAGCCCGUGAGACCACGAACCCUUCGAUUGAGAAGAACCUUCGGUCGGAAGAAGACUUCUCGUCUCAGUAACAAUAACAAGAAAAACAGCCUAGACUAGACGCACAUCAGGAAGACAGUUAAUCCCUUCAUGUAUUGACCCGGAAACAUAAUCUCAUUUGCCUAUAAGACAGAGAGAGAGAGAAUAAUAGAAAUGCUGGAAGAACGAGCCUUGGGGCGGUAUCGCCCAGAUCUGAAUCCACACAGCAGCUGCUUCGGUCCCUGUAACUCAAGGCUUCCUCUUAAUCCUCUGUCCUCCAUCAACACCUGGCUGAGCAGGAACAACUACGACCUAGGACCAGGGCCUUCAGGAAUCUUCACCCCUAACUUGAACUUCAUAACACUGGAGAGAGAGACUGUGGAAUGGAAUGACUCUCCAGAGCUGCAGAUUGAAGGUGUAUUUUCAUCUGACUUUGAUCUCAAUGGCGGGAACACCUUCAUGGCCCCUUUAUAGCUGGAUGAUCAUUUCCUGUUCUCUCCACCAUGGCCACCUGGUCCAAGCUACCAUCUUCUUGCACCUGGAUACCUGCCAUAACCUCAGCUGACCUUUCCUGUGUCCAUUCUUGUUCCUUUGGGCCCAGUCUCCUCGCUCAUAGCAGUAGAAUGAGUCUAUUAAAAAGUGAAACAAUUUCUGUCA